This 920-nucleotide ribosomal RNA is filed under the name uncultured bacterium. RNAcentral describes it as "bacterial SSU rRNA". It matches the Rfam family "Bacterial small subunit ribosomal RNA", at positions 11 to 930 of the family's 1533-position model. The record is from RNAcentral.
GUUUGAUCCUGGCUCAGAUUGAACGCUGGCGGAAUGCUUUACACAUGCAAGUCGAACGGUAACAGGUCUUCGGAUGCUGACGAGUGGCGAACGGGUGAGUAAUAUAUCGGAACGUGCCCAGUCGUGGGGGAUAACGUAGCGAAAGUUACGCUAAUACCGCAUACGAUCUAAGGAUGAAAGCGGGGGAUCGCAAGACCUCGCGCGAUUGGAGCGGCCGAUAUCAGAUUAGGUAGUUGGUGGGGUAAAGGCUCACCAAGCCAACGAUCUGUAGCUGGUCUGAGAGGACGACCAGCCACACUGGAACUGAGACACGGUCCAGACUCCUACGGGAGGCAGCAGUGGGGAAUUUUGGACAAUGGACGCAAGUCUGAUCCAGCCAUUCCGCGUGCAGGAUGAAGGCCCUCGGGUUGUAAACUGCUUUUGUACAGAACGAAAAGGUCUCCAUUAAUACUGGGGGCUCAUGACGGUACUGUAAGAAUAAGCACCGGCUAACUACGUGCCAGCAGCCGCGGUAAUACGUAGGGUGCAAGCGUUAAUCGGAAUUACUGGGCGUAAAGCGUGCGCAGGCGGUUAUGUAAGACAGAGGUGAAAUCCCCGGGCUCAACCUGGGAACUGCCUUUGUGACUGCAUAGCUAGAGUACGGUAGAGGGGGAUGGAAUUCCGCGUGUAGCAGUGAAAUGCGUAGAUAUGCGGAGGAACACCGAUGGCGAAGGCAAUCCCCUGGACCUGUACUGACGCUCAUGCACGAAAGCGUGGGGAGCAAACAGGAUUAGAUACCCUGGUAGUCCACGCCCUAAACGAUGUCAACUGGUUGUUGGGUCUUAACUGACUCAGUAACGAAGCUAACGCGUGAAGUUGACCGCCUGGGGAGUACGGCCGCAAGGUUGAAACUCAAGGAAUUGACGGGGACCCGCACAAGC